This is a long non-coding RNA of Myotis daubentonii (Daubenton's bat), 2081 nucleotides long. RefSeq lists it as uncharacterized. The record is from RefSeq and is a predicted model, not a curated record. NCBI's taxonomy places the organism in Eukaryota, Metazoa, Chordata, Mammalia, Chiroptera, Vespertilionidae.
GGUCUCUUUGUAGGAUCCGAAAUGGGAAGGCUUUCCCGGUGGAGCCAGGAGGAAGAGGGUGCCCCUUGGCGUUCGCUGAAAAAACUGCAGCUGCUUUCGGACCCAAGGAAAAACGCUGCGAGGGCAUGCACUCCCGGACCACAAGCCCUUUUUCCCAGGGUGAUUCCGAGUAAAUGCUAUCUGCGACAGGCGCCUUUCUAUUGUUUCUGACCCAAGGAUUAAAAACAGCCAUCGAACAUAAGCACUUAGAUCAACUGCGUGUCAAAAAGAGGCCAUGGUUGAAGCACUAGUCUUUCUUGCCAGGACUGAAGCUUCCUUUGACGAUCUUGAGUUCCCUGCUCCUGCCUUCUCUAAGAUUGCAACUCCUUUUCUCCCUGCAUCUUAAAAAUCAAUCACAGCCUUGAUUACAUUUGAGAGCUGCUGAGGAACCCUUGACUGAUGACUCCCCAUUGACUGAAAAAUUAAGUAUAAAAUUUUCAUUUUGACAUUCAAGGCUUUUUCCACAACAAUGGUCUCAACCUCCCUUUCCUGCCUCAUCAUCCACCACUCUCUUUGCCAUAAAGGACAUGAGUUUCUCAAUGUUGCUACAGCGUAUCAUGCAUUUUCUUACUAAGUGAUUUUGUUUAGUCCAUUUUCUCUACCUGGAAUCUCUACCAGUUGAACUCAUCUGUCCAGACUCAUUUGAGGAUUUUACCUCUAUUCAGUUUCAUUCAAUUCAGCAAAUAUUGACUGAGGACUGACGCUGUUGAAUGCAUUAUGCUAGGCAGUGUGAGUGUACAGUGGUGAAUAAAGGUGACUUCUGCUUUCAAGGGGUUGCAAUAUUAUUGAAAAGACAUAUUGGCAACAUAUAAAUUGUUCAGCUUUUGACACUAUACUAAAUGCCUACCUAGAACUUGGCUCACAGACCAUGCAAUGCAUGUUUGUCAAAUGACUGAAUAAUUGUUAUAUGAGAUGCAAACAUAGUGCGUACUAUGCAUAGUGCAUAGUAGAGAAUAGGAAAUAAAGACUUAUCAACUGGGGGUCCAUCUGGGAGGCCUACAGAAGUUACAUUUGGAGCAGAGGGAUUCCGUGCUGUGUAGUGGUCAAGAACCUGGGCACAACAGGAAGUUAGAUUAGAUGCUGCUAUUGUUCUGAAAGUUCACCUGCCAGUUAAAGGGAGCCUGAGACACACAGCCUCUGUCUCCUGAAAAGUCCCACCUCGUUUCUUGGGCCAGCCCUCUCUGCAUAGCCUUUCUUGCAUCUUUCUUUUUCUCAGCAUCCCUAGACUUCCCCCAAUCUACCAGGUGUCUGUCCCUAGGAAAUCCCAAACUAUUUUGCAUAGAAAAACUUUCAUGUCUUAGAGAAGAAAGAUUUUACUUUGCUAUUCAGAGCCUUCUGGACACCAGAGGACUGUUGCCUUUCAAUCAGGCAUUUUGCAAAACAAAAGAGUAGUUUUUUCCUUUUGCCAACUUCAAACAAAGAAACCUGAUUCUUUUUGCAAUGGGAGCAGCGGAGAGGGUUUGGGGCACUGUAGUCAGAGUAGUGCUAAUAGUCAGCAGCAUGUAUUAAACAUUUACUAUGUACUAGUCACCAUAUAAGUCCUUUACAUACAUUAUCUCAUUUGAUCCACACAGCAAACUUUUGAGGCAUAGAUUAUUGGAAUCCUCACCCCAUUUUACAGAUGAGCAGACUGAGGCUUAUAGAGGUUUUGUAACUUGCCUAUGGUCACAUACCUAGCCACUGGAGGAGACAGAACCUGAACUCAAGUCUUAUGCCUUCAUAGCUCACCUGUUUAGCCAAUACACAAGAGAUUGCUUCACAAUAAUACAUUACUGGUUACAGAAAAAUUUUUGGAUGAAUGGAUACACCAGCACCUCUCUUGAGCUAUUCUUUCAGCUUUUGGGAAUUAUGAGGGCAGCAUUAAAAGCCUCUGACAAAUGGACAGAGAAAACUUCCUUGGCAAAAGAAAACUGGAUCCAGAGUCACUACUUACACAAUGGAAAUUUAGGCAAUAUUAUCACACAUUCCCCAGUUUAUUACACACACAUACAACCUGCCUCACCCUUUCAAGGACCUUUAAAUUUGUUUUCUUUUUCUUUUCU